RNAcentral lists this ribosomal RNA (496 nucleotides) under uncultured bacterium. Its description in RNAcentral is "partial 16S ribosomal RNA". It matches the Rfam family "Bacterial small subunit ribosomal RNA", at positions 29 to 507 of the family's 1533-position model. The record is from RNAcentral.
AUGAACGCUGGCGGCGUGCCUAAUACAUGCCAGUCGAGCGAACAGACGAGGAGCUUGCUCCUCUGACGUUAGCGGCGGACGGGUGAGUAACACGUGGAUAACCUACCUAUAAGACUGGGAUAACUUCGGGAAACCGGAGCUAAUACCGGAUAACAUGUUGAACCGCAUGGUUCAACAGUGAAAGACGGUCUUGCUGUCACUUAUAGAUGGAUCCGCGCCGCAUUAGCUAGUUGGUAAGGUAACGGCUUACCAAGGCAACGAUGCGUAGCCGACCUGAGAGGGUGAUCGGCCACACUGGAACUGAGACACGGUCCAGACUCCUACGGGAGGCAGCAGUAGGGAAUCUUCCGCAAUGGGCGAAAGCCUGACGGAGCAACGCCGCGUGAGUGAAGAAGGUCUUCGGAUCGUAAAACUCUGUUAUUAGGGAAGAACAAAUGUGUAAGUAACUAUGCACGUCUUGACGGUACCUAAUCAGAAAGCCACGGCUAACUACGUG